This 427-nucleotide ribosomal RNA is filed under the name uncultured bacterium. Its description in RNAcentral is "partial 16S ribosomal RNA". It matches the Rfam family "Bacterial small subunit ribosomal RNA", at positions 355 to 774 of the family's 1533-position model. The record is from RNAcentral.
UGGGGAAUAUUGGACAAUGGGGGCAACCCUGAUCCAGCCAUGCCGCGUGUGUGAAGAAGGCCUUUUGGUUGUAAAGCACUUUAAGCAGUGAAGAAGACUCCAUGGUUAAUACCCAUGGACGAUGACAUUAGCUGCAGAAUAAGCACCGGCUAAUUCUGUGCCAGCAGCCGCGGUAAUACAGAGGGUGCAAGCGUUAAUCGGAAUUACUGGGCGUAAAGCGAGCGUAGGUGGCUUGAUAAGUCAGAUGUGAAAGCCCCGGGCUUAACCUGGGAACGGCAUCUGAUACUGUUAGGCUAGAGUAGGUGAGAGGAAGGUAGAAUUCCAGGUGUAGCGGUGAAAUGCGUAGAGAUCUGGAGGAAUACCGAUGGCGAAGGCAGCCUUCUGGCAUCAUACUGACACUGAGGUUCGAAAGCGUGGGUAGCAAACA